GAUGAACGCUGACAGAAUGCUUCACACAUGCAAGUCUACCAAGAAUCACUUCGGUGAGGAAUGGUGGCGGACGGGUGAGUAACGCGUAAAUAAUCUGCCCUUUAGACUGGGAUAUCCUUUGGAAACGAAGGUUAAUACCGGAUAUUAUGAGAUGGACGCAUGUUCAACUUAUGAAAGCUAAAUGCACUAGAGGGUGAGUUUGCGUCCCAUUAGCUAGUUGGUGAGGUAAAGGCUCACCAAGGCCACGAUGGGUAGCCGGCCUGAGAGGGUGAACAGCCACAAAGAAACUGAGAGACGGUCCUUACUCCUACGGGAGGCAGCAGUGGGGAAUAUUGUACAAUGGACCAAAGGUAUGAUCCAUCAAUUCUGUGUGCACGAUGAAGGUCUUCGGAUUGUAAAGUGCUUUCAGUAGUGAAGAAAAAAAUGACGGUACCUACAGAAGAAGCGCCGGCUAAAUAUGUGCCAGCAGCCGCCGUAA
This 478-nucleotide ribosomal RNA is filed under the name uncultured bacterium. RNAcentral describes it as "partial 16S ribosomal RNA". It matches the Rfam family "Bacterial small subunit ribosomal RNA", at positions 28 to 523 of the family's 1533-position model. The record is from RNAcentral.